This 429-nucleotide ribosomal RNA is filed under the name Triticum aestivum (bread wheat). RNAcentral describes it as "partial small subunit ribosomal RNA". The record is from RNAcentral. Lineage: Eukaryota; Viridiplantae; Streptophyta; Magnoliopsida; Poales; Poaceae.
AUGGUCAUAUUCCUCGACAAGUAUCCCGAAGAAUCAGAGGUAGAUAGAGUAACUUGCGCAGAGACACCAGACAAGGAAAUUGACCCGGAAGGAUAUGCAGCUGUGGAAAACUACAUGAUGCACGGGCCAUGUGGUGUAGCCAACACAAAGUCACCAUGCAUGGUCGACAACAGAUGCAUAAGAAAGUUCCCAAAAAAAUACAACACCAAUACCACUAUUGAUGAAGAUGGAUACCCAGUAUAUAGAAGACGAGACGAUGGAAGAUACAUACAGAAAGGGGAAGUGAAGUUGGACAACAGAUAUGCAGUCCCAUACAAUAGAAAUCUGCUGGGAAUGAUGUGUGUUGGAGAAUAUUUCAGUUCAAAAUGCACUUCAAAGAUCCCUGUGUCGAAAGGUUGCCUUUUCACCUGGAAAAUGAGCAACAAGUAA